This 467-nucleotide small RNA is filed under the name Pan troglodytes (chimpanzee). RNAcentral describes it as "processed transcript". Lineage: Eukaryota; Metazoa; Chordata; Mammalia; Primates; Hominidae. The record is from RNAcentral.
UCCGGCCUGACCCCUGUCCAGCGCCUUUCCUUUCUCCAGCUUCUGCUCUGCCCCAAGAGUGGUCGCCUUCGUGGCAGGGCACGACUCUCUCCCAGCUCGGGUCGCCGCCCACAUUAGUGUGGGGCCCUGCGGCCUAGCGUCCCUCACCAGAGGCCUCCCCUUGCCCAGCUGGACCGCCGAGAGACAUCGACGAGUACCCUCCUCCUGCUGUCCCCGGCUUCGCCUGCCGCCCCUAACCGGCCAGUCAAGAUGGCCGCCGCUGGGUGAGGCAAGCUGGCGCGCCGCGGGGGCGUCUGGGAGUUGUAGUUCGGGACGGCGGGCUGACGCACUUCGCCGCCGGCCGACGGGCGCCAUUGUGCGGCGCGCGCCGGAACAUCAGCUUUCCAAACCAGAUGUGGUAUCUCAGUUAGAGGAGGCAGAAGAUUUCUGGCCAGUGGAGAGAGGAAUUCCUCAAGACACCAUUCCAG